Molecule: long non-coding RNA, 1141 nt
Filed under: Scleropages formosus (Asian bonytongue)
Lineage: Eukaryota; Metazoa; Chordata; Actinopteri; Osteoglossiformes; Osteoglossidae
Description: lncRNA (ENSSFOG00015032929.1)
Source: RNAcentral
AAAAUAAAGCUUGACAGUGGCUGACGUGUAGAAUAUACGAAAUGGUGUUGCCACAUUUAGACUCGCUAAGCUCGUAGUGCCGUAGCUGUACUUUACUAAGGCGUGAAGGAGAAGGUCACGUGAUGCGAAGCGGUCCAGUUCCUUAAUGAGUCCAGUGAGGACGCGCGGCUAGUUGAACGAGUCUCAUGCUUCAAGUGGCUUCAGUAAACAUCUCAGGUAAUCAAUAAAAUCAUUCCUCAUACCCGUUAAGGAUGAACUACUCAGCACAUGCUUGUCUUCCAAAUGCAGCCACAGGUAACAGAGACUGAGCUGCUAUAAAAAUUCUCGUCAGGCCAUCGCUCAGCUGCCGCUUUCGUAGCGCGUGACAGCUUAUUAUAGUGGACCGGGCGCGCGGCGGAGGCGGGAUUCCCCGCUGCGCUCACCGCGCAUGUUAGUGUUUGUCGGCGGCCGAGCGCUCCGUCCCUUUCAGUUCGGUGGCACGAAGAGCUUCGGCACCACGAAUCCGGGGUUUAAGUGGAAGGUUAAUAAAUGGCGGCGGGGGAAAAGCCGAAGCAGUAAGGAGGACUGGUUCGGUGCCGCUGGUCUCACGGACUCGCUCGGGAUCGAGAGCAAACCUGCAGCCUCCCGCUCUAUGAAGUAAGACGCACGAAAGAGUCCGAAUAGAAACGCUGAAGCGAUCAGCAGGUUACUGGUUCGUCCCUACUGCGCAGAAGGAGAGGCGCGUCACCUUGAUCUUGCUUCUUGUUGUUCUAAUACUUUGACCUGUGUCAGUAGUUGGCUCUCCUCCAUAUGGUGAUUUAUUACUCACUUCAUUACUGUAUUUCGAAGUAAAUCUUUGAAAUUAUUAAUUUGUUGUUCUGUUACAGUCUAUUCUAAAGCAAUUGCGUUUCGCUACAACGACAGAAACUUACUACUUGUGACUUUCAUUUUCAACUUUUUUCUUUCUGUUUUUAAAAUGAGUAACAUGCGAUGCGGAACUGAAGAAGUUAUUCGGGCGUAGAAAAGACAAGGGAAGAAAACAUUUAGAAGUGAAAGUGAAAACAAUACACUAAUAAUAAUAUAUAUGGUCUAUUAAAUUGCUACAACUUUAUUAAUGUCUGAAAUUAGUGGAAAAAUAAAGCCUUACACAAUGGGCUAUUCA